AUGAAUGUCCCUCCUGUCCUCAUCAGGUCUCCAUAUGUGUCCAGCUACCAGCAGUUAGAGGAUCAGCAGAGGUGAGGACUGCAGGGGCGUCCUCUGGAGUGAAGAGCCGGGGGCAGGACACUCACUCCAGGGAAUCGUUUUCCUCCUUGUGCAGGCGUAAGGAGAAUCACCCUGGAUCCCACGGGCCAUGUACAGCCGGGCCAGAGACGCUGCUGCGACACCAUGAUACCCGUCAGUGUCCCAGCAUCAAAGCUACUGGAUGCAACAGAACAACAGGAGGGAAUCAGCGCUGACAGGGGGGAAGCCUGCUUGACGUGACGGAUGAGAGAACCUGUUUGCUGGAACGGAGACUGGAUGUGCGGGAGCAGCUUUUACCCCCAUCUCCAGCACAAUGCGGCGUAACCGUCCCGCAUCCGCAGACAGCCGUGUCUGACGGGCCUGACAACAACAGAAAAGGUGUGGAAUCGCAAUUGUGAGGGGUGAUUCUUCCACCGCUUCGUGGUGUCUGUGCCCAAGUCAGAGGGUGGCAUGAGUGUGUGUGACUUCGGAAAGCAUGCGAGAAAGAUUGCGCGUCGCUACGCAUGUGUUUUACCACAGAAGCUGCUCUCCCACUGAGCUCCAGUGAAUACAAACGACAUUUAGCGGCCUCUUUGGCCACUCUCCAUGCUGUUAGGGGAAACCCCCUUCACUUACACAGCACACACACACACACACACACACACACAGGAUGUACAGCCUCCAUGAAGAAGCAUUGAUAUGUCAUGCUGAGGCAUUAAAUGGGAAGAUAGUGGUUAGCAAUCAGACCAAUUGUUGGUUUUUACAGACAGAGCUCCUUGACAGACUAAAGCUUUGCUCUGGUUUUCAUAUUUCUGUGUCUUUGAAUUCCUUCACAUUCCAGAGGAUCAGUGUUAGGAAGCUCUGUGUCCUGCCAGCUGUGAGCAGAUUUAAAGCAUCUGCCCCUGGCUCCUCCAUACCUUCACAUCAACUGUAGCUGCUCCACUUGUAAACAUCGAGUCAGAUAACUUGCCGACUUGAUAGCUAGCUGUCUAGCUAUGAAGUAAGCUAGCUAUCUGAGACAUCGAGUCAACUCAGCUAGCUAGCUGAUUGGAUAGCUGGCAAGCCAGUCAGUUAGCUACCCGACUCGAUAAGUGGAUCAGCUACACCAACUACCUGUACAGUACAACUACUGUAGCUAGUUAA
Molecule: long non-coding RNA, 1200 nt
Organism: Poecilia latipinna (sailfin molly)
Lineage: Eukaryota; Metazoa; Chordata; Actinopteri; Cyprinodontiformes; Poeciliidae
Exons: 3
Source: RefSeq, a predicted model, not a curated record